GGGUGCGAUCAUACCAGCACUAAUGCACCGGAUCCCAUCAGAAUUCCGCAGUUAAGCGCUUGAGCGAGAAUAGUUCUAAGAUGGGCUUGUCUCAUGACUUUCAUAGAUUCAGGCUAGUGGCUUCACACC
This is a non-coding RNA of Cephalotus follicularis, 129 nucleotides long. The record is from Rfam. NCBI's taxonomy places the organism in Eukaryota, Viridiplantae, Streptophyta, Magnoliopsida, Oxalidales, Cephalotaceae.